This is a long non-coding RNA of Homo sapiens (human), 813 nucleotides long. RefSeq annotates it as long independently transcribed non-coding RNA 1980. NCBI's taxonomy places the organism in Eukaryota, Metazoa, Chordata, Mammalia, Primates, Hominidae. The transcript has 5 exons. The record is from RefSeq and is marked validated.
GCGCCGGGAUGCGCUCUCCUCUUCUCAUUUGCCAAUUUAUUGCAGAUCCCUCCUCAAAAAAGUUUUGGGACUAACUCAGCCCCAUGGAGAUCAAGGUGAAUUAGAAAAACAACAAAACAAAACAAGAUUCAUUUUAACAUCUCAUUUUUCUAUCUCCAACUUUCCCUCCCCUCCUCCCACCCCAGGAAGAAAAGACUACGUUUGUUUCUGGUGAUACAUUCAUUGUAGGUGGGUGGGUGACUUCUAGAAGAGGAAAAUCAAGAAGAUUUGGAGAAGGAGUCUUGGAAGCUCUGGUGAAGUUUUCCAAAACUGGGAAGGACAGAGUCUGCUCAGCCUGUGUUAGUGGAGAAGAGGGAAGGAAACUGGCUGGAGGCCGCUGGACCCACAGAGGACAAUAGACAAUCUCCUGCUGAUGCCCACUGGAUCCAAAGAGAGAAACUCUAUAGAAUUAUGAUCUAGGUUUGACUGACUCCUGGCAAGAAGCCCUACCCGCCAGCCAAUUUGGAUGAGGUCACAGGGGUCAUCCAUCUUUCCUUCUAUGUGACUGGUUUGCUCUUGCAUAUCAUGUUUUCCGCUCUUAUGCUCCAGAUCCAUCAUGAGAAGAACAUGCCCUGGAUUCCUGCUAUCCCUUUAGCCAUGGCUCCAAAAUUAACACACACAAGGAAGACCUGAGGUCAAUCCACAGCCUGGAUUCAAGUCACCUAAUACAUAGGAGAAUCAGAGCUACCCAGCCACACUCAAUCUACGUUAACUGAACCUCAGCUGACCUGCAGAUUUAUGAGUAUGAGAAUAAAGGCUUGUUAAUGUAUAUCA